UUUAUGCACAUUGCAUCAAGCAAAAAGUGACAUAAUAUGGAACAACCUAUGACUUGAAGAAAUUUGUGUAACAUUUAAACCUAUUUUGUGCACAUUCAGGCAUGUAAAAGAAGCAAUUUUUUUGGUGUUUAUAUUGUUUGUCUGUGAUUUGGACAACCAAGCCUGUGCUCUCAACGCAGGGGAAACAAAUUCUGCCGGGGACAACUACCUUGACAUGACUGCCACAAUAAAAACUGAACCUGUGCUCUCAACGCAGGGGAAACAAAUUCUGCCGGGGACAACUACCUUGACAUGACUGCCACAAUAAAAACUGAAGGUCCAGGAGCCUCGGGUACAGCACAGACAGGUCCCAAGUCUGUCACAGGACACAGAGACACAGACACAGUUCAACUAAACUAACCCAACUUACUGCAUGUCUUUGGA
Non-coding RNA from Maylandia zebra (zebra mbuna), 423 nucleotides. NCBI's taxonomy places the organism in Eukaryota, Metazoa, Chordata, Actinopteri, Cichliformes, Cichlidae. The record is from RefSeq and is a predicted model, not a curated record.